RNAcentral lists this transfer RNA (77 nucleotides) under Bacilli bacterium. RNAcentral's name for it is "tRNA-Pro". It matches the Rfam family "tRNA". From Rfam's summary of the family: Transfer RNA (tRNA) molecules are approximately 80 nucleotides in length. Their secondary structure includes four short double-helical elements and three loops (D, anti-codon, and T loops). The record is from RNAcentral. Lineage: Bacteria; Bacillati; Bacillota; Bacilli.
CGGGAAGUAGCACAACUUGGCAGUGCACGUGGUUUGGGACCAUGAGGUUGCAGGUUCAAAUCCUGUCUUCCCGACCA